RNAcentral lists this ribosomal RNA (206 nucleotides) under Escherichia coli. RNAcentral describes it as "partial 16S ribosomal RNA". It matches the Rfam family "Bacterial small subunit ribosomal RNA", at positions 1 to 210 of the family's 1533-position model. The record is from RNAcentral. Lineage: Bacteria; Pseudomonadati; Pseudomonadota; Gammaproteobacteria; Enterobacterales; Enterobacteriaceae. RNAcentral also lists the same sequence under 2 other names.
UUAAAUUGAAGAGUUUGAUCAUGGCUCAGAUUGAACGCUGGCGGCAGGCCUAACACAUGCAAGUCGAACGGUAACAGGAAGCAGCUUGCUGCUUCGCUGACGAGUGGCGGACGGGUGAGUAAUGUCUGGGAAACUGCCUGAUGGAGGGGGAUAACUACUGGAAACGGUAGCUAAUACCGCAUAACGUCGCAAGACCAAAGAGGGGG